GAUAAAGUGCAGGAAUGGAAGAUGUCACGCGACUCACCUAAUAAGGGAUGUUUGGACCGUUACACAGCCAACAGAAGCAUGUGGACAGACAUUGACUGUGAUGAUGGACAUCUGCUGAUGCACAGGCAAGAAGUAUCACCCCUGCUGGACAUUGUUCUGGAACUCAGGGAGGGACACCAUGAUCCCCCACACCUUCUCACUCACACCAGACCAUUCACUCAUAUCGCGGAGAUCUGGCUGGACUUGAACCAGCAACCUCUGAAACCAUGAGGCAGCACUCUUACCACUGAGCCACAGAUCUCUUGUCUGAACAUGUGCAGGAACUUAUAUUUCACUAUUCUCUCUGUCAUUUUACAAUAAACCAGUUAAAUUUCAAACCCAUUGAGCGGGGGUUUGAACCCAUGGCACCACCACAGUUCUGAUUGUAUGUAACAUGUGUUUAGCCAUUAGUGCCACACUGGCUUUCACAUUGAAAGCUUGCGUUUGCACCACUUUGUUGGAUAUAAUGCAAUACAUGAGCUUUAAUGUAAGCAAUAGUGGGGCUUGAACUCAGGACUCCACGAUCCCAACACAACACGCUGCAUCCUGAGCCACUGGAACAAGUGAGUUACAGGUUGUUUUGGACGGGUUUUAUUGAGAGG
RNAcentral lists this long non-coding RNA (641 nucleotides) under Sinocyclocheilus rhinocerous. Its description in RNAcentral is "lncRNA (ENSSRHG00000024084.1)". Lineage: Eukaryota; Metazoa; Chordata; Actinopteri; Cypriniformes; Cyprinidae. The record is from RNAcentral.